Molecule: ribosomal RNA, 465 nt
Filed under: Vreelandella stevensii
Lineage: Bacteria; Pseudomonadati; Pseudomonadota; Gammaproteobacteria; Oceanospirillales; Halomonadaceae
Description: partial 16S ribosomal RNA
Rfam family: Bacterial small subunit ribosomal RNA
Source: RNAcentral
CCUACGGGUGGCUGCAGUGGGGAAUAUUGGACAAUGGGGGCAACCCUGAUCCAGCCAUGCCGCGUGUGUGAAGAAGGCCCUCGGGUUGUAAAGCACUUUCAGUGAGGAAGAACGCCUGGUGGUUAAUACACAUCAGGAAAGACAUCACUCACAGAAGAAGCACCGGCUAACUCCGUGCCAGCAGCCGCGGUAAUACGGAGGGUGCGAGCGUUAAUCGGAAUUACUGGGCGUAAAGCGCGCGUAGGUGGCUUGAUAAGCCGGUUGUGAAAGCCCCGGGCUCAACCUGGGAACGGCCUCCGGAACUGUCAAGCUAGAGUGCAGGAGAGGAAGGUGGAAUUCCCGGUGUAGCGGUGAAAUGCGUAGAGAUCGGGAGGAACACCAGUGGCGAAGGCGGCCUUCUGGACUGACACUGACGCUGAGGUGCGAAAGCGUGGGUAGCAAACAGGAUUAGAUACCCUUGUAGUC